This 1099-nucleotide ribosomal RNA is filed under the name metagenome. Its description in RNAcentral is "bacterial LSU rRNA". It matches the Rfam family "Bacterial large subunit ribosomal RNA", at positions 1319 to 2494 of the family's 2925-position model. The record is from RNAcentral.
AUGUGGGAAUCAUAAUGGCCGAAAAUCUAAGGUUUCUUGGGGAAGGUUCGUCCGCCCAAGGUAAGCCGGGAGCUAAGGCGAGGCCGAAAGGCGUAGUCGAUGCACAUACGGUUGAAAUUCCGUAGCCACCUUAUCGAUAAAAGCUGACACAUAGAGAUAGCCGAACCCGGGCGUUGGUUGACCCGGGCGAAAGGGACCGAACUACAGUAGGGAAGUCGGCGAUGCUCUGUGGCGAGAAAAGGCGAAGAUAGGGUGCCCGUACCGCAAACCGACACAGGUAGAUGAGGAGAGAAUCCUAAGGCCAACGGGAGAAAGGUUGUUAAGGAACUCGGCAAAAUUGCCCCGUAACUUCGGGAGAAGGGGCGCCCUCGAAAGAGGGCCGCAGUGAAAAGGCCCAAGCGACUGUUUACCAAAAACACAGGUCUCUGCUAAAUCGAAAGAUGACGUAUAGGGGCUGACGCCUGCCCGGUGCUGGAAGGUUAAGAGGAGGACUUAGCGCAAGCGAAGGUCUGAAUUUAAGCCCCAGUAAACGGCGGCCGUAACUAUAACGGUCCUAAGGUAGCGAAAUUCCUUGUCAGGUAAGUUCUGACCCGCACGAAUGGCGUAACGAUUUGGGCACUGUCUCAACAGCCUACCCGGCGAAAUUGUAGUACCGGUGAAGAUGCCGGUUACCCGCAACUAGACGGAAAGACCCCAUGGAGCUUUACUGCAGCUUAAUACUGAGAUUCGGUAAUUCAUGUACAGGAUAGGUGGGAGACUUAGAAACAGGGUCGUCAGGCACUGCGGAGUCACCCUUGGGAUACCACCCUUGGAUUGCUGGGUUUCUAACCUGCGGCCAUGAAUCUGGUCGGGGGACACUGUUAGGCGGGCAGUUUGACUGGGGCGGUCGCCUCCUAAAAAGUAGCGGAGGCGCUCAAAGCUUGGCUCAGCAUGGAUGGAAAUCAUGCAAUGAGUGUAAACGUAUAAGCCAAGUUGACUGCGAGACCGACGGGUCGAGCAGGUACGAAAGUAGGAGUUAGUGAUCCGGUGGUAUGUGAGUGGAAAUGCCAUCGCUCAACGGAUAAAAGCUACCCUGGGGAUAACAGGCUGAUCUCCCCCA